Molecule: long non-coding RNA, 706 nt
Filed under: Gallus gallus (chicken)
Lineage: Eukaryota; Metazoa; Chordata; Aves; Galliformes; Phasianidae
Description: long non-coding RNA NONGGAT004285
Source: RNAcentral
AAGCUCUUCUAAUGUUUGUGAUAGGAGUCUACUGCUGCCGUACCGUUGCUAUUUAUAUUCCUGCUGGCUGAAACCUCUUGGCACCCUACCUCCGUGCUCUGUCAGCAAGCACUCCUUCACAGUAUAGCUACCUCUUACAGCUCUUAGUAAAUGAAAAUUAGAUUCGUCAGAGACAAUCAAGAAACAAGUGGGAAGGAUCUGAGCAAAAUAUGUGAAGGUUUUAUGAGUAAAUACAGCUUUUAGAAUACAAGUGAAAUCCAGAGGAACUUCUGAAGAAUGCAGGUUGCCCUCUUGUUACCUGAUGCUAGCGAUCUAGUCUGGAAAGUCACAAAAGCCCAUUCUGAAGCAUGUGGUAAUAUCAAGAGCAAGAGCUGCCAGGAAAUACACUGAUACUUUAGGUUUGUGUGGCACAGAGCCCAUUUAUCCCUCCUCCCCAUUCAAUCUGCUGAAACAGCUCCGCAACGUCACCCCCUACAGUAAUGCUACUCCGUAGAAAUUCCAUGCAGUAACAGUCCUGCUUUAUCCUCCUGCUGCCUCACACCAGCCAGCUCUGAGUCACUGCCAGCAUGCUGAACCACAGCCACGCUAUUCCUGUGCUGACCCAUCAAAAAGGAGGCUUUUAAGUCAUAACUGUUUCUUCAGUGUCCUAAGUGAACUACUCAAUCCUCGGAAAUCUGAGGCUGUUGGAACUGAAAUCUGACAACUG